CAGUGGCGGCGCCAGCCUUUUAAAAGUGGGGGGGAUUUUCGAGCGGUGAAGGCGCGAGACACUUCUAGGGGGAUCCGGGGGCAUGCCCCCCCGGAAAAUUUUUGAAAUCUAGAGUCCCUGAAAUACGAUUUCCUGCAUUUUCAGGGUGAGAUUCAGAAUUCCGAAAAUUAUAAAGUAAACAAAACACACGAUUUUUUCAUGA
This is a non-coding RNA of Paramuricea clavata, 202 nucleotides long. The record is from the annotation of a GenBank genome assembly. Lineage: Eukaryota; Metazoa; Cnidaria; Anthozoa; Malacalcyonacea; Plexauridae.